AUUGAACGCUGGCGGCAGGCCUAACACAUGCAAGUCGAGCGAGCGGCGGACGGGUGAGUAAUGUAUGGGGACUGCCCGAUAGAGGGGGAUAACUACUGGAAACGGUGGCUAAUACCGCAUACUAUCGGAUAACCCAUAUGGGAUUAGCUAGUAGGUGGGGUAAAGGCUCACCUAGGCGACGAUCUCUAGCUGGUCUGAGAGGAUGUUAGGCCACACUGGGACUGAGACACGGCCCAAACUCCUACGGAGGCAGCAGUGGGGAAUAUUGCACAAUGGGGGCAAGCCUGAUGCGGCCAUGCCGCGUGUAUGAAGAAGGCCUUAGGGUUGUAAAGUACUUUAAGCGGAGAGGCGUUAACCGAAGAAGAAGCACCGGCUAACUCCGUGCCAGCAGCCGAGGUAAGUAC
RNAcentral lists this ribosomal RNA (404 nucleotides) under uncultured bacterium. RNAcentral describes it as "partial 16S ribosomal RNA". It matches the Rfam family "Bacterial small subunit ribosomal RNA", at positions 30 to 526 of the family's 1533-position model. The record is from RNAcentral.